This 1100-nucleotide ribosomal RNA is filed under the name Apilactobacillus kunkeei. RNAcentral's name for it is "bacterial SSU rRNA". It matches the Rfam family "Bacterial small subunit ribosomal RNA", at positions 42 to 1104 of the family's 1533-position model. Lineage: Bacteria; Bacillati; Bacillota; Bacilli; Lactobacillales; Lactobacillaceae. The record is from RNAcentral.
GGGGGCUAAUACUGCAAGUCGUACGAGCUCCAAAUUGAUUUUAUGCUUGCAUAAAUGAUUUUUGGAUUCGGAGCGAGUGGCGAACUGGUGAGUAACACGUGGGUAACCUGCCCCAAAGCGGGGGAUAACAUUUGGAAACAAGUGCUAAUACCGCAUAAUUAGUUGGAACCGCAUGGUUCCAACUUGAAAGAUGGCUCUGCUAUCACUUUGGGAUGGACCCGCGCCGUAUUAGUUAGUUGGUGAGAUAAAAGCCCACCAAGGCGAUGAUACGUAGCCGACCUGAGAGGGUAAUCGGCCACAUUGGGACUGAGACACGGCCCAGACUCCUACGGGAGGCAGCAGUAGGGAAUCUUCCACAAUGGACGAAAGUCUGAUGGAGCAACGCCGCGUGAGUGAUGAAGGUUUUCGGAUCGUAAAACUCUGUUGUUAAAGAAGAACAAGUGUUAGAGUAACUGUUAACACUUUGACGGUAUUUAACCAGAAAGCCACGGCUAACUACGUGCCAGCAGCCGCGGUAAUACGUAGGUGGCAAGCGUUGUCCGGAUUUAUUGGGCGUAAAGCGAGCGCAGGCGGUUUUGUAAGUCUGCUGUGAAAGCCCUCAGCUUAACUGAGGAAGUGCAGUGGAAACUACAAAACUUGAGUACAGAAGAGGAAAGUGGAACUCCAUGUGUAGCGGUGAAAUGCGUAGAUAUAUGGAAGAACACCAGUGGCGAAGGCGGCUUUCUGGUCUGUUACUGACGCUGAGGCUCGAAAGCAUGGGUAGCGAACAGGAUUAGAUACCCUGGUAGUCCAUGCCGUAAACGAUGAAUACUAGGUGUUGGAGGGUUUCCGCCCUUCAGUGCCGCAGCUAACGCAUUAAGUAUUCCGCCUGGGGAGUACGACCGCAAGGUUGAAACUCAAAGGAAUUGACGGGGGCCCGCACAAGUGGUGGAGCAUGUGGUUUAAUUCGAUGCUACGCGAAGAACCUUACCAGCUCUUGACAUCUUCUGCCAACCCAAGAGAUUGGGCGUUCCCUUCGGGGACAGAAUGACAGGUGGUGCAUGGUUGUCGUCAGCUCGUGUCGUGAGAUGUUGGGUUAAGUCCCGCAACGAGCGCAACCC